RNAcentral lists this long non-coding RNA (1731 nucleotides) under Mytilus galloprovincialis (Mediterranean mussel). Lineage: Eukaryota; Metazoa; Mollusca; Bivalvia; Mytilida; Mytilidae. The record is from RNAcentral.
CGAGUGCAAUCUCCAUUUAUACAGUUUUACAAGAUUUCUGUUAUAACACAAACAAAAUCAGAGAAAUGAACAACUAUAGGUCAACGUACAUGUACGGCCUUCAACAAUAAAAAAAAGUUUAUAUCGCAUUGUCAGCUAUAAAAUGGUUUGGUUUUAUUUCUCGUAAGCAAAUUUCAUAUAAUUUUAUUGAGGUUGCCCUUGAAUAUUUGAUAGUAAUUUUUACACACUGGAAUCGGUGUCAUAAAUCAACAUGUUUCAAAAUAACAGUUAUAUACAUGUAUAUAUAUAAAUAUAAAAUGAUUAAUACAUGUAGUUCUACAUUAAUUAUUUCAUUUUUUAAAAUUGCAUCUAAUCCACAAAUGUAAAGUCGAUGUAUAAAUUGUUGAGUUCAUUUUGUGCUUGUAGUUAACAGCAAAUUUCAAUUAUUUGAAAAGUAAAUGUUGCAUGUUCUUCAAUGAUAACAAUGCUUCCUUCUUUUAUCCAUAAGCAUGCGAAUCGACAAAAGCUGUUAUAUAAUAUAAAAAAGAUUAACACACAAGCUUUCGUUUUAAUAGCCUAGUUUCGAUCAAAUUCUUUUAUACUUUUUAAUGAGUAACACCUGAAUCCGACUCUAUUGAUUUGGUUCCUCUACCAUUUGUUUCAUCGUCAACUUUCGUUUGGCGCAAUCUGUUAAACACGAUUUUCAUUUCGCGCCUAAAUUUCGUGUCCAAAAAUCCAUAUAUGAAAGGAUUGACAGCGUUAUUCAACAAAAUGGAGAAAACAAAUGUAUAAUAGGCAAAUCCUUCUGAAAAUGUCAUUUUACAGUUAAAGUCUUUCUGAAUCCGAGUUGUAACAACCAUGCUGUAAUGUGGAAUAGCACUCAACAGGAACGCUGCAGACACAGCUAAAAGUGUGACCGUUGUUUUCUUGGUUUUUACGUUGACGCCGGUUUUUCCAUGUCUAUGUAGAAACCUCAAAAUCUGUGCGUAGACGCCAAACAAAACCGGAACAACCAAGAAAUUUAGGACGUACAGAAAAAUAUAAUAAACACUUGGGUAAACAGUGUUUUUGUAGGCGUCAUCUGUCCAGCAUCGAAUUCCUUUGACCCCAGGAAUCGCCGUAUCGACGGUGUAAAUCCCGUAUAAGACCAAGCAUGGCCAUGACGUCAAAAGUCCUAAAAUGGUUGCAAUAAUACAACACACUUUCGUAUUUUGGUAGGAAAGCUGCCAUUUCAAAGGCCUGCAUACUUUUCUGUAUCUAUCAAACGCUAUCACCAUUAAAAUAAAGGCGGAACAAUUCGUUGUUAAGACAUUUAUGAAUCGACCAAAUUUACACAACCCAUAUGACGGAAAGAUUAAGUAAUGACUCAUGUAGUAAAUGAGGAAAGGCAUUCCAAUACAUGAGUUUGCAAUGUCCAUGACGGCCAGCCAUAUUGUGUAAGUCCUAUAAUUCGAUACUUUGAAUCUAUGAACAUAAAUCCAAAGAACAACAAAGUUACCGAAGACACCAAUUAUCAUUAAAAUUGCUGUAAAAACUAUUCCUCCUAUAUGCCGCUCUGUGAACUGGUUGUUCAAGUCUGUAAGCGUUGUAGAGUUAUCGACUUCAAGCCAUGUAAAACACUGUUUUCCAGUUUUGUUCAUAAUGGCUAUUUCUGUGGAGGCAAUUCAAGAAGAAUUCUUCUCGUUAUAAAACUUAUACUUAAAUUUACGUUGUAAAUAUUUAUGAUUUUAAUACUUCCCUCUUCCGUAUGCG